GAGGAACAACAACCGCGUUAAGCCCGUGACUCCUUCACAUCUCUACCUUUAGGUGGAGACCAGGCGCUGGACGCCAAGUGCACAAGGAAGGACCCCAAAACAAGCCCCGUGUUUUCAGCAAAGUGAAGAAAUGAAACGUGAACUACAUGUCUGGAGUUGGGAAGGGAAGCUGAGAAGCAUCUUGGGGACUCUAGCUUACUCGAGUGGAAUGAAGCCAUCCAGCUCUGUUAGAAAUGGCAGGAGACGGGGAACAAGUCCUGCAGAGGAACUUCAGACUUCCCCUGCAGUGGCCCUGUGAUGAUCUGAUCAAGACAACAGGGUGAAGUGAGGAUUCCUGAGGAUGACAUGGUGAGGCGGGGACUGGAAAUCCAAGAGAACUGCUUGGAGAUCAAAUUAAAAGUUGAAAUGAACAGUUGUUUGUAACCAAAUAUUGAAAAUAGGUGCUGAAAUGAAUUUAAAUCAAAUUUAAAAUUUAAACUCCAACUGUACUAAUAGCACAGUGAAGUAAUGACUUAAAAUCCCAAGCCUGCAAGAAAACAGUAAAAGAAAC
Molecule: long non-coding RNA, 550 nt
Filed under: Chinchilla lanigera (long-tailed chinchilla)
Lineage: Eukaryota; Metazoa; Chordata; Mammalia; Rodentia; Chinchillidae
Description: lncRNA (ENSCLAG00000026918.1)
Source: RNAcentral